GAAUAUGAGGGCGAUCUGGCCAUGAGAUCUGUUGCCCCAUUGAUCGCCAAGGUUGACGGGGUUGAUCUGGCUGGCUAGACAGGUGUUCCUUUCCUCCCUCAAUGCUCCACGUACGUCCCUCUUGAAGCUGUGCGCUAGGCCCCGAAGAGGACGACCACACCCCAUCCCCCACCCCGAUAGAGGGCCGUUCCUCAGUCAAGGGUAGGAGUAGCUGCGCUCCCCGGCUAGAACCUCCAAACAAGCUCUCAAAAAAGAUGCUCCUGAGACUCCAGCUGGAGUGCUGCACCAUUAAUCUCAGUGAAGGUUUCUAC
Molecule: small nuclear RNA, 311 nt
Filed under: Chinchilla lanigera (long-tailed chinchilla)
Lineage: Eukaryota; Metazoa; Chordata; Mammalia; Rodentia; Chinchillidae
Description: 7SK RNA (ENSCLAG00000022187.1)
Rfam family: 7SK RNA
About the family: 7SK was discovered as an abundant small nuclear RNA in the mid-70s but a possible function has only recently been suggested. Two independent studies have found that 7SK RNA binds the CDK9/cyclin T complex (known as elongation factor P-TEFb). P-TEFb activates transcription by phosphorylating the C-terminal domain of RNA polymerase II.
Source: RNAcentral